RNAcentral lists this ribosomal RNA (545 nucleotides) under uncultured bacterium. RNAcentral describes it as "bacterial SSU rRNA". It matches the Rfam family "Bacterial small subunit ribosomal RNA", at positions 26 to 540 of the family's 1533-position model. The record is from RNAcentral.
UUAUAGAACCGCCGCUGUCGGCUGCGUUUAACCUGCAAGUCGAGGGGUAGAGCGUUUUCGGACUUUCGAGACCGGCGAACGGGUGAGUAACACGUAGGGAAUCUACCGUAAGGUUGGGGAUAGCCCUUGGAAACAGGGGGUAAUACCGAAUGUGUUCCUGCUCUGAAAGGGGGAGGAAGAAAGGCGCUUUGGCGCCGCCUUGUGAUGAACCUGCGUCUGAUUAGGUAGUUGGUGGGGUAAAGGCCUACCAAGCCGACGAUCAGUAGCCGGCCUGAGCGGGUGAUCGGCCACACUGGGACUGAGAUACGGCCCAGACCGCUACGGUGGGCAGCAGGUAAGAAUCUUCCGCAAUGGACGCAAGUCUGACGGAGCGACGCCGCGUGGGUGAAGAAGGCCGUGAGGUCGUAAAGCCCUUUUCUAUCUGAGGAAUAGGCCCCUGGGAGGGGAUUGCCCGGGGUGAUGACGGGUUGGGGUAGGAAAUAAGCCCCCGCCUAUAUUGCGGUGCACAACCAGCCCGCGGUAACACCCUUAUUGGGGGCGAAGCG